This 431-nucleotide unclassified non-coding RNA is filed under the name soil metagenome. RNAcentral describes it as "partial contains 5.8S ribosomal RNA, internal transcribed spacer 2, and large subunit ribosomal RNA". The stretch from base 1 to 120 matches the Rfam family "5.8S ribosomal RNA", at positions 35 to 154 of the family's 154-position model. The record is from RNAcentral.
GAUGAAGAACGUAGCGAAAUGCGAUACGUAAUGUGAAUUGCAGAAUUCAGUGAAUCAUCGAAUCUUUGAACGCAUAUUGCGCUCUUUGGUAUUCCGAAGAGCAUGCUUGUUUGAGUAUCAGUAAACACCUCAAAGUCUUUUUUUUUUCUUGAAGAAAAAGACCUUGGACUUGAGCAAUCCCAACUCUUCUUUCAGAAGAGGCGGGUUGCUUGAAAUGCAGGUGCAGCUGGACAUUCUCCUGAGCUAAAAGCAUAUUCAUUUAGUCCCGUCAAACGGAUUAUUACUUUUGCUGCAGCUAACAUAAAGGGAGUUUGACCAUUUUGGCUGACUGAUGCAGGAAUUUCACAAGAGUCUUCAAAACGCUCUUGUUAAACUCGAUCUCAAAUCAAGUAAGACUACCCGCUGAACUUAAGCAUACAAUAAGCGGAGGA